Molecule: ribosomal RNA, 427 nt
Filed under: uncultured bacterium
Lineage: Bacteria
Description: partial 16S ribosomal RNA
Rfam family: Bacterial small subunit ribosomal RNA
Source: RNAcentral
GUGAGGAAUUUUCCGCAAUGGGCGAAAGCCUGACGGAGCAAUGCCGCGUGAAGGAUGAAGGCCUAUGGGUUGUAAACUUCUUUUCUCAGAAAAGAAUUAUGACGGUAUCUGAGGAAUAAGCAUCGGCUAACUCUGUGCCAGCAGCCGCGGUAAGACAGAGGAUGCAAGCGUUAUCCGGAAUGAUUGGGCGUAAAGCGUCUGUAGGUUGUUUAAAAAGUAUUCUGUCAAAGAUUAGGGCUUAACCCUAGAUAGGCAGAAUAAACUUUUAAGCUAGAGUUUGGUAGAGGCAGAGGGAAUUCCCGGUGGAGCGGUGAAAUGCGUAGAUAUCGGGAGGAACACCAAAGGCGAAGGCACUCUGCUGGGCCAAUACUAACACUGAGAGACGAAAGCGAGGGGAGCAAAUGGGAUUAGAUACCCCGGUAGUCCC